This 133-nucleotide small nucleolar RNA is filed under the name Chlamydomonas reinhardtii. RNAcentral's name for it is "CrACA40a snoRNA". The record is from RNAcentral. Lineage: Eukaryota; Viridiplantae; Chlorophyta; Chlorophyceae; Chlamydomonadales; Chlamydomonadaceae.
CGGCUGACACUCCCCAUGGCGCGGCGAUGCAGUGCCGUGCUGCGGCCUUGUGAAAGCUGAAAUCGCCGAGCCUCUUUAAGGCAGGAGCACGGUCGACCUGUGACCGCAGCGCCGUUCCAGGGGCGCGACAUAU